AAAUAAGAAGGGAGGGGAAGAUAGGAUUGCCAUUUAAAAACUUUCAUUAAAAGGCGGCUGUCCAAAAAACGCAUGAGACUCUCUCUCUCUCGUUCCCAACUUUGCAAACAUCCUUAGCGCUGGCCCUUAUUGGAUUAGUAAAUAGUGUGCCAGGUCAUUACCUUACAUGUGCAAAACAUGUGCAAAUAUAGAGUAUCUUACAAGCCUUAUUAGAAUAGUAUAAAUAGCAUGUUCUCCUCAUAUAUUGCUGUUGUCGAUUGUAUACACAAAACUGUUAAGAGAAAUACAUUGAGAGCUUAAUCAUUUUCUUCUCUGUUCUUCUUCCAUUUUUGCAUUUUCUUGAUUUUCAUUGAAUUCUUCUUACUGUUAAGAUGGUAUCUAGAGCCAGUCUUGCUUGCGCAAUGGAGAUAGGUUAUGCGGUUCGCUGCUCCAAUGGACGAUAAGGUGAU
This 449-nucleotide long non-coding RNA is filed under the name Malus domestica (apple). RNAcentral describes it as "long non-coding RNA (MDOM_LNC004648)". The record is from RNAcentral. Lineage: Eukaryota; Viridiplantae; Streptophyta; Magnoliopsida; Rosales; Rosaceae.